GACGAACGCUGGCGGCGUGCUUAACACAUGCAAGUCGAGCGGUAAGGCCCUUUCGGGGGUACGACGAGCGGCGAACGGGUGAGUAACACGUGGGUGACCUGCCCUCAGCUCUGGGAUAAGCCCGGGAAACUGGGUCUAAUACCGGAUAUGACUCCAUGACGCAUGUUGUGGGGUGGAAAGCCUUGUGCGGCUGAGGAUGGGCCCGCGGCCUAUCAGCUUGUUGGUGGGGGUGAGGCCUACCAAGGCGACGACGGGUAGCCGGCCUGAGAGGGCGACCGGCCACACUGGGACUGAGACACGGCCCAGACUCCUACGGGAGGCAGCAGGUGGGGAAUCUUGCGCAAUGGGCGAAAGCCUGACGCAGCGACGCCGCGUGAGGGAUGAUGGCCUCGG
RNAcentral lists this ribosomal RNA (393 nucleotides) under uncultured bacterium. RNAcentral describes it as "bacterial SSU rRNA". It matches the Rfam family "Bacterial small subunit ribosomal RNA", at positions 28 to 420 of the family's 1533-position model. The record is from RNAcentral.